GCGGAGGUGGUGGAGGGAAUAGUGGAACGUCUGGAGAUGGCGGAGGGGAUGGUGGAGGAGGUGGUGGAACGAUCGGAGACGGAUAAGGAAAUGGUGCAGAAGGCGGUGGAGGGGGUGGAGGGGAUGGUGGAGUAGGUGGUGGAAUGGCUGGAGACGGAUAAGGAGAUGGCUCGGAAGGUGGUGGAGGGGGCGGAGACGGAGAUGGUGCAGAAGGUGGUGGAGGGGGAGAAGUAGAUGGAGGAGGUGCAGAAGGUGGUGGAGGGGGAGAAGGGGAUGGAGGAGGUGGUGGAAUGGCUGAAGAUGGGGGAGUGGGCAGAGGGAAUGGUGGAGGAGGUGGUUGAACGGCCGGAGAUGGAUAAGGAGAUAAUACAAAAGAUAAUUCCUUCGUCGGAUAAGAAGCCAAUGAAUUAAUGGCACAAACACCAUAUGGCAAAUCACCGUUUCUUCUUAUAUAUCCAUACCCCUCCACUCCCCAUGAUGUACCCCAUGAAUUCUUGAUUAUCCAGUAGUCAU
This 513-nucleotide long non-coding RNA is filed under the name Solanum tuberosum (potato). RNAcentral's name for it is "long non-coding RNA (STUB_LNC002993)". Lineage: Eukaryota; Viridiplantae; Streptophyta; Magnoliopsida; Solanales; Solanaceae. The record is from RNAcentral.